GGCCCGUUGGUCAAGCGGUUAAGACACCGCCCUUUCACGGCGGUAUCACGGGUUCGAAUCCCGUACGGGUCA
This is a transfer RNA of Terribacillus aidingensis, 72 nucleotides long. It matches the Rfam family "tRNA". Rfam says of the family: Transfer RNA (tRNA) molecules are approximately 80 nucleotides in length. Their secondary structure includes four short double-helical elements and three loops (D, anti-codon, and T loops). Lineage: Bacteria; Bacillati; Bacillota; Bacilli; Caryophanales; Bacillaceae. The record is from Rfam.